Colletotrichum chlorophyti is the source of this 86-nucleotide transfer RNA. It matches the Rfam family "tRNA". Rfam says of the family: Transfer RNA (tRNA) molecules are approximately 80 nucleotides in length. The record is from Rfam. NCBI's taxonomy places the organism in Eukaryota, Fungi, Ascomycota, Sordariomycetes, Glomerellales, Glomerellaceae.
GGUCUUAUAGUCUAGUUGGUUAGGACGUCGGAUUCUGAUAAUCUCAGAACCUUCCGUAGGCCCAGGUUCGAAUCCUGGUAGGACCU